CCUACGGGAGGCAGCAGUGGGGGAUAUUGCACAAUGGGGGAAACCCUGAUGCAGCGACGCCGCGUGGGUGAAGAAGCGCCUCGGCGCGUAAAGCCCUGUCAGCAGGGAAGAAAAUGACGGUACCUGAAGAAGAAGCCCCGGCUAACUACGUGCCAGCAGCCGCGGUAAUACGUGGGGGGCAAGCGUUAUCCGGAUUUACUGGGUGUAAAGGGGGCGCAGGCGGCGAUGCAAGCCAGGAGUGAAAGCCCGGGGCCCAACCCCGGGACUGCUCUUGAAACUGCGUGGCUAGAGUGCAGGAGGGGCAGGCGGAAUGCCUGGUGUAGCGGUGAAAUGCGUAGAUAUCAGGAGGAACACCGGUGGCGAAGGCGGCCUGCUGGACUGCAACUGACGUUGAGGCCCGAAAGCGUGGGGAGCAAACAGGAUUAGAUACCCCUGUAGUC
RNAcentral lists this ribosomal RNA (440 nucleotides) under uncultured bacterium. Its description in RNAcentral is "partial 16S ribosomal RNA". It matches the Rfam family "Bacterial small subunit ribosomal RNA", at positions 338 to 795 of the family's 1533-position model. The record is from RNAcentral.